Molecule: long non-coding RNA, 856 nt
Filed under: Prunus persica (peach)
Lineage: Eukaryota; Viridiplantae; Streptophyta; Magnoliopsida; Rosales; Rosaceae
Description: long non-coding RNA (PPER_LNC001163)
Source: RNAcentral
CUAAGGGCAUGUUUACGUAUCGGUAAUGGGUAUGGGAGGGAAGUGAAUGAUUUCCAUUCAUAACUUACCCUGUGUUUACUUGCAAUCAGGAAUGAAAAAAUAAGUGGGCCCCACCUUAAAAUCCGUAAUCACAUCCCCUCAUAACUAGGUAUCAGAUCAACUAGGGAGAGUAGUCGAUACGAUUCUCAUUCCUGUUUUCUCUUAGUAACUUCCAAAAAUACCAUUACCACUUUACCAUAAUUCCAAAAUACCCCAAACCCUAAAAAAAAUAAAAAUUCUCGCCAAGAAGUUUCAAGACGCUUCAACCCUAAAAAAAAUAAUAACCCAUUUCUAAGAAGUUCUAUGUAUUUAAUGUAUGAAAAUUAUACAGGUUAUUAUUAUUUGAUUGUUUACUAAUUACGUAUGUGAAAGAUAUAUAUUUAUUGGAGUUUAUUUUUUCGUUUGAAAUUGGCUUUGGACAAAGGUGUUAUUAACAUUAUCAUUGAACUUGGCUCUUGUUGUUCAUCUUGUUCAGCAUAUUGAUUCCUCAUGUUUGCACCGCCUUACUGUUUUGCUGCAGGAUUAGUUUGGUCUCCUUAGUCAAUUUGAGAAUUAUAUGUGUGCUGUGGUGAAAAUAUGCAGGGGUAAUUUAGUAAUCAAAUUAAUUUGAAUUCUGAUUCAUGAAAAUUAGUAAACAAUAACAAUAGGAAUCAACCCCAUUCAUUUGCUAAUUCCAUAUGUUUAAUAAACAACUUAAUGGGAAUGAUUCUUCCCAUACCGAUUCCUAAAUUUUCUGAUUCCUUACUUUCUCCAUUACUGAUACAUAAACAUGCCCUAAGAUGAAAGGGAUUACACUCAUAGGUACAAGGCCUCAGCC